This 395-nucleotide ribosomal RNA is filed under the name uncultured bacterium. RNAcentral's name for it is "bacterial SSU rRNA". It matches the Rfam family "Bacterial small subunit ribosomal RNA", at positions 28 to 413 of the family's 1533-position model. The record is from RNAcentral.
GACGAACGCUGGCGGCGUGCUUAACACAUGCAAGUCGAGGGGGUUCGUGGGGCAACUCACGGAUCACCGGCGAACGGGUGCGUAACACGUGAGCGACCUGCCGUACCUGUGGGGGAUAGCCGGCCCAACGGCCGGGUAAUACCGCAUACGCUUGUCUUGGGGCAUCCUGGGACAAAGAAAGCUCUGGGGGCAACCCUGGGGCGCAGGACGAGGGGCUCGCGGCCUAUCAGCUAGUUGGCGGGGAACGCCACCAAGGCGGUGACGGUAGCUGGUCUGAGAGGAUGGCCAGCCACAUUGGGACUGAGAGACGGCCCAGACUCCUACGGGAGGCAGCAGUGGGGAAUCUUGCGCAAUGGCCUAACGGCUGACGCAGCGACGCCGCGUGUGGGAGGACG